GUAAGAGAUGAACAACAGUUAAUAAUAAAAUACAAUUAUAGCAAUAUACUGUAAAAAAUGUUCUGUGAAUGUGAUGAAUUGAUAAAUGAA
This is a long non-coding RNA of Lontra canadensis (Northern American river otter), 90 nucleotides long. RefSeq lists it as uncharacterized. The record is from RefSeq and is a predicted model, not a curated record. NCBI's taxonomy places the organism in Eukaryota, Metazoa, Chordata, Mammalia, Carnivora, Mustelidae. The transcript is spliced from 3 exons.